UUCACGGAAGGACUGCAACUGUGCAGAACAAAAGUUUAAUUUCCAAAGGGCGGCUAUAGCCAAAGCAGGGAAUCGUGUACACGAGAUGGAUUCCUGAGCCUCCCCGGCAUCUGAAAUACGUGGUGCUAAUUGAACAUUAGUGUCAGGACAAGGGAAUGUUCGAGUACCAUUCAAACCCUACACAAAUCACUUUAAAAACCAGGCCAGAUCUGUGCUGUCAGUCCUUUCUGACAUAGUCAGAAUGUCAUCUUCUACCCUCUUUUCUAUUUUAAGCACUGGUGCAAAGAAGGUAUUUUCAUUAACUUCACGUAGAUUUGUCCUUGUUUUUCAGACCCUGUGUGUCAUGUCUCAAUCCCAGCCUGUCUCAGGCUUCCUCUGAGCCAGACUAUUAAUGAUUUAAUGUCUCAUACUUCUUAUUCUCUAGUUGUAUUGUAUUCACAGUCUCCUUAUGUGAUGAGACUUACAACUGGUAUAUGUAUGUGGGUAACUUAUUUAUCUCUUGUACUUACCUUCUCCCUUGGAGUAGGAUAAGAAAGUAACAAUGCAGUACUGCAUCUCAGGAUUUUAAAAAAAUCCCAGGAAUGCAUUAAUUCCUCAAUGACUAGCUUAUAAAAGACCUCAUCUAGGAAAAAAGGAAGGAGCAAAGAUGCAGCUCUCCUUAGGUCUGAGCAGAGAUGGAUCCAUAGAGAUUUAUUUUAUAAAGCCCUAGGGGAUCAAAUCUUUGUCUUUUCUACAGAGCUUUAGUUUACCCCCUGUCCAGCCUUCACACUUGGAACUUAAUGAACCUAGCAGGUACCAGCAGGGAUAUCAGGAAUGGGCUCAGUGCACUUCUGAGGAGAGGUGAGCAGCGGACUGGAGACAGCAGUAGAGGUCAGUGACUGACUAGGCAGACUAUGGCACUUGUGACAGCUGUAGUGCCAAGGAGGAAGCCAGUGCUAGGACAUCACUGACCCCAGGCUGCGUGAGUGGUAGGGGCAACACAGGGAGAGCUAUGUGUCAUUUGAACAUUGCUGUCAUUUGGCCAUUGGCUGUGGCUGUGGUAUGUUGAAAAGUUGUUUCUUCACCUCUCCCAGGCAAAAACUUCUUCCUGAAAAUAUCUGGCUGGGGGAAACCUUCAGCAAGACUUCUACCAUGCAUUGAUCCAAGUUUUCUGUCAUGUAACUUUUUGCUUCUUCUAUCUUGUGCAGGACAGCUUCCCUAAAGUACUUAUUUUUCCUCCUCCAAAUUCCUACAUUACGUACCUACUUGUCUUCAAAAUCCUUGUCAGUAAUUAAGUAGCUUGUAUCUUACAGCUGUGCUUGGUAUGAUAAUUACCCUUCUCUUAGUUUUCCCUGUUGACUGUGUGUUCAUCUAUCAUCUACUACCAUCAGCUCAGAUAGAAUUUGGAGUGGUAUGAAGUACCUCAAACACUGAAGAACCAGCAUUUUGAAGGACCUGCAGGUGCUACCACAAGGCUCCUCAGGAGGGGAAAUCAGGAUAGCACAUCUCAGCAGAUGGGAGCAUAAAUCUGGCUAGGAAGAGAACGCAAGUGAGAAGCAUCUUGAGUCAAUCUCCUCCAAAGAUACUCGCUGAAAAUCUUAAGAAAGGCGCCCAAAACCUGUGCUAUUUGUACUGCUCUGUUUCUGUGGAAACUGUGUGUUGAAGUGGAAUAGAAAAAGCAGGGAAAAGAGAAUGAGAGGUGAAGUGUUUCUGGCUGAAGUCCCGUUGGCCAGUCACAGUUUGAGCUGGGCUUGUUGCCGGGACCACAGUAGGAGAAUGGGUUGACUCAUUCAAAUCCUGCCAAACAGAGUAGAAGGCUUCUCAGUUCUCCUUCAUUUGCUGUCAAGAGACACAUCAGUAGUGGCUACCCCUAGUGUCCUCACAGUAAUUUUGAGACUCAAUAACUGGCAGACAAACCCACUGGCAGCUUCAUUUGAAAUCGGGCAAUUAAUUAAAAAUAUAUCAGAGGGAGACAACCCUUCAUACAAAUCUUGGUUUUUUUUGGAAAAUAUGCAAAAAAUACUAAUAGAAGUCCCACUAAAAAUUAAAACAGGAGUAAAAAAACCAAUUAAGAUAGCUGUAGGGAUGUUUCAUGUGGAUGUUUUAAUUAACUUAGAGUAUGGGAUUGCUUGCACUUAGUAGAAACAAAUAAUUUUCCACUUCAGAAAAAGAAAUUAAGAGAGAGGUUAAAUGA
This is a long non-coding RNA of Passer domesticus (house sparrow), 2173 nucleotides long. RefSeq lists it as uncharacterized. The record is from RefSeq and is a predicted model, not a curated record. NCBI's taxonomy places the organism in Eukaryota, Metazoa, Chordata, Aves, Passeriformes, Passeridae. The transcript is spliced from 4 exons.